This 466-nucleotide ribosomal RNA is filed under the name uncultured bacterium. Its description in RNAcentral is "partial 16S ribosomal RNA". It matches the Rfam family "Bacterial small subunit ribosomal RNA", at positions 29 to 507 of the family's 1533-position model. The record is from RNAcentral.
AUGAACGCUGGCGGCGUGCUUAACCCAUGCAAGUCGAACGGUGAAGCAGAGCUUGCUCUGUGGAUCAGUGGCGAACGGGUGAGUAACACGUGAGCAACCUGCCCCUGACUCUGGGAUAAGCGCUGGAAACGGCGUCUAAUACUGGAUAUGAGCUGCGACCGCAUGGUCAGCAGUUGGAAAGAUUUUUCGGUCUGGGAUAGGCUCACGGCCUAUCAGCUUGUUGGUGAGGUAAUGGCUCACCAAGGCGUCGACGGGUAGCCGGCCUGAGAGGGUGACCGGCCACACUGGGACUGAGACACGGCCCAGACUCCUACGGGAGGCAGCAGUGGGGAAUAUUGCACAAUGGGCGAAAGCCUGAUGCAGCAACGCCGCGUGAGGGAUGACGGCCUUCGGGUUGUAAACCUCUUUUAGCAGGGAAGAAGCGAAAGUGACGGUACCUGCAGAAAAAGCGCCGGCUAACUACGUG